UGGGGAAUUUUGGACAAUGGGCGAAAGCCUGAUCCAGCAAUGCCGCGUGUGUGAAGAAGGCCUUCGGGUUGUAAAGCACUUUUGUCCGGAAAGAAAUCCUUGGCUCUAAUACAGUCGGGGGAUGACGGUACCGGAAGAAUAAGCACCGGCUAACUACGUGCCAGCAGCCGCGGUAAUACGUAGGGUGCAAGCGUUAAUCGGAAUUACUGGGCGUAAAGCGUGCGCAGGCGGUUUGCUAAGACCGAUGUGAAAUCCCCGGGCUCAACCUGGGAACUGCAUUGGUGGCUGGCAGGCUAGAGUAUGGCAGAGGGGGGUAGAAUUCCACGUGUAGCAGUGAAAUGCGUAGAGAUGUGGAGGAAUACCGAUGGCGAAGGCAGCCCCCUGGGCCAAUACUGACGCUCAUGCACGAAAGCGUGGGGAGCAAACAGGAUUAGAUACCCUGGUAGUCCACGCCCUAAACGAUGUCAACUAGUUGUUGGGGAUUCAUUUCCUUAGUAACGUAGCUAACGCGUGAAGUUGACCGCCUGGGGAGUACGGUCGCAAGAUUAAAACUCAAAUGAAUUGACGGGGUCAU
This 574-nucleotide ribosomal RNA is filed under the name uncultured bacterium. RNAcentral's name for it is "partial 16S ribosomal RNA". It matches the Rfam family "Bacterial small subunit ribosomal RNA", at positions 355 to 922 of the family's 1533-position model. The record is from RNAcentral.